Molecule: ribosomal RNA, 253 nt
Filed under: uncultured bacterium
Lineage: Bacteria
Description: partial 16S ribosomal RNA
Rfam family: Bacterial small subunit ribosomal RNA
Source: RNAcentral
UACAGAGGGGGCAAGCGUUGUUCGGAAUUACUGGGCGUAAAGGGCGCGUAGGUGGCCUUCUAAGUCGAACGUGAAAUCCCUGGGCUCAACCCAGGAACUGCGUCCGAUACUGGAAGGCUUGAAUCCGGGAGAGGGAUGUGGAAUUCCAGGUGUAGCGGUGAAAUGCGUAGAUAUCUGGAGGAACAUCGGUGGCGAAGGCGGCAUCCUGGACCGGUAUUGACGCUGAGGCGCGAAAGCCAGGGGAGCAAACGGG